This 212-nucleotide long non-coding RNA is filed under the name Elaeis guineensis (African oil palm). Its description in RNAcentral is "long non-coding RNA (EGUI_LNC041602)". Lineage: Eukaryota; Viridiplantae; Streptophyta; Magnoliopsida; Arecales; Arecaceae. The record is from RNAcentral.
UUGACAGACUUGAUUUCAAGAAAUAAGAUGUAUCCUUUUAGAAGUAUCAAUUGAAUCCCAAAGAACAUGUCAAAUGAUACUUUCCAUCUUCAACAAUACUCUUCUUGGAAUAACAGUAUGAGAGAUUAAAUAGGAAGUGCAAAAAGAACUGAUUUAAUGAAAGUUACUCUACCCAUCAUAGAUAAAGCCCUCCACUUCCAGCCAUCCAAGUG